RNAcentral lists this ribosomal RNA (1583 nucleotides) under Escherichia coli. RNAcentral describes it as "partial 23S ribosomal RNA". It matches the Rfam family "Bacterial large subunit ribosomal RNA", at positions 1251 to 2819 of the family's 2925-position model. The record is from RNAcentral. Lineage: Bacteria; Pseudomonadati; Pseudomonadota; Gammaproteobacteria; Enterobacterales; Enterobacteriaceae.
UGAAGGUGUACUGUGAGGUAUGCUGGAGGUAUCAGAAGUGCGAAUGCUGACAUAAGUAACGAUAAAGCGGGUGAAAAGCCCGCUCGCCGGAAGACCAAGGGUUCCUGUCCAACGUUAAUCGGGGCAGGGUGAGUCGACCCCUAAGGCGAGGCCGAAAGGCGUAGUCGAUGGGAAACAGGUUAAUAUUCCUGUACUUGGUGUUACUGCGAAGGGGGGACGGAGAAGGCUAUGUUGGCCGGGCGACGGUUGUCCCGGUUUAAGCGUGUAGGCUGGUUUUCCAGGCAAAUCCGGAAAAUCAAGGCUGAGGCGUGAUGACGAGGCACUACGGUGCUGAAGCAACAAAUGCCCUGCUUCCAGGAAAAGCCUCUAAGCAUCAGGUAACAUCAAAUCGUACCCCAAACCGACACAGGUGGUCAGGUAGAGAAUACCAAGGCGCUUGAGAGAACUCGGGUGAAGGAACUAGGCAAAAUGGUGCCGUAACUUCGGGAGAAGGCACGCUGAUAUGUAGGUGAAGCGACUUGCUCGUGGAGCUGAAAUCAGUCGAAGAUACCAGCUGGCUGCAACUGUUUAUUAAAAACACAGCACUGUGCAAACACGAAAGUGGACGUAUACGGUGUGACGCCUGCCCGGUGCCGGAAGGUUAAUUGAUGGGGUCAGCGCAAGCGAAGCUCUUGAUCGAAGCCCCGGUAAACGGCGGCCGUAACUAUAACGGUCCUAAGGUAGCGAAAUUCCUUGUCGGGUAAGUUCCGACCUGCACGAAUGGCGUAAUGAUGGCCAGGCUGUCUCCACCCGAGACUCAGUGAAAUUGAACUCGCUGUGAAGAUGCAGUGUACCCGCGGCAAGACGGAAAGACCCCGUGAACCUUUACUAUAGCUUGACACUGAACAUUGAGCCUUGAUGUGUAGGAUAGGUGGGAGGCUUUGAAGUGUGGACGCCAGUCUGCAUGGAGCCGACCUUGAAAUACCACCCUUUAAUGUUUGAUGUUCUAACGUUGACCCGUAAUCCGGGUUGCGGACAGUGUCUGGUGGGUAGUUUGACUGGGGCGGUCUCCUCCUAAAGAGUAACGGAGGAGCACGAAGGUUGGCUAAUCCUGGUCGGACAUCAGGAGGUUAGUGCAAUGGCAUAAGCCAGCUUGACUGCGAGCGUGACGGCGCGAGCAGGUGCGAAAGCAGGUCAUAGUGAUCCGGUGGUUCUGAAUGGAAGGGCCAUCGCUCAACGGAUAAAAGGUACUCCGGGGAUAACAGGCUGAUACCGCCCAAGAGUUCAUAUCGACGGCGGUGUUUGGCACCUCGAUGUCGGCUCAUCACAUCCUGGGGCUGAAGUAGGUCCCAAGGGUAUGGCUGUUCGCCAUUUAAAGUGGUACGCGAGCUGGGUUUAGAACGUCGUGAGACAGUUCGGUCCCUAUCUGCCGUGGGCGCUGGAGAACUGAGGGGGGCUGCUCCUAGUACGAGAGGACCGGAGUGGACGCAUCACUGGUGUUCGGGUUGUCAUGCCAAUGGCACUGCCCGGUAGCUAAAUGCGGAAGAGAUAAGUGCUGAAAGCAUCUAAGCACGAAACUUGCCCCGAGAUGAGUUCUCCCUGAC